This 468-nucleotide ribosomal RNA is filed under the name uncultured bacterium. RNAcentral's name for it is "partial 16S ribosomal RNA". It matches the Rfam family "Bacterial small subunit ribosomal RNA", at positions 28 to 507 of the family's 1533-position model. The record is from RNAcentral.
GACGAACGCUGGCGGCGUGCUUAACACAUGCAAGUCGAACGGUAAGGCCCUGCUUUUGUGGGGUGCUCGAGUGGCGAACGGGUGAGUAACACGUGAGUAACCUGCCCUUGACUUUGGGAUAACUUCAGGAAACUGGGGCUAAUACCGGAUAGGAGCUCCUGCUGCAUGGUGGGGGUUGGAAAGUUUCGGCGGUUGGGGAUGGACUCGCGGCUUAUCAGCUUGUUGGUGGGGUAGUGGCUUACCAAGGCUUUGACGGGUAGCCGGCCUGAGAGGGUGACCGGCCACAAUGGGACUGAGAUACGGCGCAGACUCCUACGGGAGGCAGCAGUGGGGAAUAUUGCACAAUGGGCGGAAGCCUGAUGCAGCAACGCCGCGUGCGGGAUGACGGCCUUCGGGUUGUAAACCGCUUUCGCCUGUGACGAAGCGUGAGUGACGGUAAUGGGUAAAGAAGCACCGGCUAACUACGUG